Molecule: ribosomal RNA, 431 nt
Filed under: uncultured bacterium
Lineage: Bacteria
Description: partial 16S ribosomal RNA
Rfam family: Bacterial small subunit ribosomal RNA
Source: RNAcentral
AACGAACGCUGGCGGCAGGCUUAACACAUGCAAGUCGAACGCCCCGCAAGGAGAGUGGCAGACGGGUGAGUAACACGUGGGAACAUGCCCAAAGGUACGGAAUAUUCUCGGGAAACUGAGAGCAAUACCGUAUGUGCCCGAAAGUGGAAAGAUUUAUCGCCUUUGGAUUAGCCCGAGUCGUCUUAGCUAGUUGGGGGGGUAAAAGCCUACCAAUGCGACGAUCCAUAGAUGGUCUGAGAGGACGACCAGACACACUGGGACUGAGACACGGCCCGGAAUCCUACGGGAGGCAGCAGAGGGGAAUCUAGCACAAUGGGCGGAAGGCUGAACCAGCCAUGGCGGGUGAAUGAUGAAGUCCCUAGAGUUGUAAAACACUUUCGUAGGCGACGAUAAUGACGGUACCCAAAGAAGAAGCACCGGCUAACUUCGUG